RNAcentral lists this unclassified non-coding RNA (20 nucleotides) under Dictyostelium discoideum. Lineage: Eukaryota; Evosea; Eumycetozoa; Dictyosteliales; Dictyosteliaceae. The record is from RNAcentral.
AUCAAAUGAUACUGUAGAUG